RNAcentral lists this long non-coding RNA (329 nucleotides) under Equus caballus (horse). RNAcentral describes it as "lncRNA (ENSECAG00000043981.1)". Lineage: Eukaryota; Metazoa; Chordata; Mammalia; Perissodactyla; Equidae. The record is from RNAcentral.
AAUAGUUCCACAGAGCUGCCGCUGUUUGCCCUCUGAGGGUUUUAAACUGGAAUCUCCAGAACCUCUUCUAAAUCAGAGCUGGGUCAAACGAUUUCACGAAGGAUCUACAGGAAAAAAAAUGAACUCACUAAAUAAUUUUUUAUUCCAUAUCUCGUUUCUAAAACCUCAUAAUUAAGAAAGAAACUGAAGAAAAGCCACGUGAGGAUGCAGUGAGAAGUCAGCCACCUGAGCCCAGAAGAGGAUUCUCACCAGCACGCGACCAUACUGGCACCUAAUGUGGGGCUGCCAACGUCCAGAAUGAUGAGAAAUAAAUGUCUGUUGUUGAAAAG